This 448-nucleotide ribosomal RNA is filed under the name uncultured bacterium. RNAcentral describes it as "bacterial SSU rRNA". It matches the Rfam family "Bacterial small subunit ribosomal RNA", at positions 958 to 1399 of the family's 1533-position model. The record is from RNAcentral.
AACGCGAAGAACCUUACCUGGGUUUGACAUGCCUGAAGUAGGCGCCAGAAACGGUUGCCCACCCGUAAAGUCGGGAACAGGUGCAGGUGUUGCAUGGCUGUCGUCAGCUCGUGCCGUGAGGUGUUGGGUUAAGUCCCGCAACGAGCGCAACCCUCGUCCUAUGUUGCGACCGAGUUAUGUCGAGCACUCAUAGGAGACUGCCGGAGAAACUCCGGAGGAAGGAGAGGAUGACGUCAAGUCCGCAUGGCCCUUAAGCCCAGGGCUGCUAACGCGCUACAAUGCGCGGUACAACGGGCUGCGAUCUCGCAAGAGGGAGCCAAUCCCGAAAAGCCGCGCCCAGUUCGGAUCGGGGUCUGCAACCCGACCCCGUGAAGUUGGAGUCGCUAGUAAUGGCAGAUCAGCAUGCUGCCGUGAAUGCGUUCCCGGGCCUUGUACACACCGACGCGUA